Molecule: ribosomal RNA, 253 nt
Filed under: uncultured bacterium
Lineage: Bacteria
Description: partial 16S ribosomal RNA
Rfam family: Bacterial small subunit ribosomal RNA
Source: RNAcentral
UACGGAGGGUGCGAGCGUUAAUCGGAAUUACUGGGCGUAAAGCGUGCGCAGGCGGUUUUGUAAGCCAGAUGUGAAAUCCCCGGGCUUAACCUGGGAAUGGCAUUUGGGACUGCAAGGCUUGAGUGCGGCAGAGGAGACUGGAAUUCCUGGUGUAGCAGUGAAAUGCGUAGAUAUCAGGAGGAAUACCGAUGGCGAAGGCAGCUCACUGGGACGGUAUUGACGCUGAGACGCGAAAGCGUGGGGAGCAAACAGG